GACAGAGGGGGCAAGCGUUGCUCGGAAUCACUGGGCGUAAAGGGCGCGUAGGCGGGCUGGCAAGUCAGUCGUGAAAUCUCUCGGCUCAACCGAGAAACGUCGGCUGAUACUGCCGCUCUUGAGGGAUGCAGAGGAGACUGGAAUUCCCGGUGUAGCGGUGAAAUGUGUAGAGAUCGGGAGGAACACCGGUGGCGAAGGCGGGUCUCUGGGCAUCUCCUGACGCUGAGGCGCGAAAGCGUGGGGAGCAAACGGG
RNAcentral lists this ribosomal RNA (253 nucleotides) under uncultured bacterium. RNAcentral describes it as "partial 16S ribosomal RNA". It matches the Rfam family "Bacterial small subunit ribosomal RNA", at positions 524 to 776 of the family's 1533-position model. The record is from RNAcentral.